GGAUCCAGACUUUGAUUCUGGCUCAGGAUGAACGCUAGCUACAGGCUUAACACAUGCAAGUCGAGGGGAAACGACAUCGAAAGCUUGCUUUUGAUGGGCGUCGACCGGCGCACGGGUGAGUAACGCGUAUCCAACCUGCCCAUCACUUGGGAAUAACCUUGCGAGAGUAAGACUAAUACCCAAUGAUAUCCCACGAAGGCAUCCGAAUGGGAUUAAAGAUUUAUCGGUGAUGGAUGGGGAUGCGUCUGAUUAGCUUGUUGGCGGGGUAACGGCCCACCAAGGCAACGAUCAGUAGGGGUUCUGAGAGGAAGGUCCCCCACAUUGGAACUGAGACACGGUCCAAACUCCUACGGGAGGCAGCAGUGAGGAAUAUUGGUCAAUGGGCGAGAGCCUGAACCAGCCAAGUAGCGUGCAGGAUGACGGCCCUAUGGGUUGUAAACUGCUUUUAUAAGGGAAUAAAGUGGGUCACGUGUGACUUUUUGCAUGUACCUUAUGAAUAAGGACCGGCUAAUUCCGUGCCAGCAGCCGCGGUAAUACGGAAGGUCCGGGCGUUAUCCGGAUUUAUUGGGUUUAAAGGGAGCGUAGGCCGGAGAUUAAGCGUGUUGUGAAAUGUAGAGGCUCAACCCCUGCGCUGCAGCGCGAACUGGUCUUCUUGAGUACGCACAACGUGGGCGGAAUUCGUGGUGUAGCGGUGAAAUGCUUAGAUAUCACGAAGAACUCCGAUUGCGAAGGCAGCUCACGGGAGCGCAACUGACGCUGAAGCUCGAAAGUGCGGGUAUCGAACAGGAUUAGAUACCCUGGUAGUCCGCACGGUAAACGAUGGAUGCCCGCUGUUGGCCUGAAUAGGUCAGCGGCCAAGCGAAAGCAUUAAGCAUCCCACCUGGGGAGUACGCCGGCAACGGUGCAACUCAAAUGAAUUGACGG
RNAcentral lists this ribosomal RNA (924 nucleotides) under uncultured Bacteroidota bacterium. RNAcentral describes it as "bacterial SSU rRNA". It matches the Rfam family "Bacterial small subunit ribosomal RNA", at positions 1 to 916 of the family's 1533-position model. The record is from RNAcentral. Lineage: Bacteria; Pseudomonadati; Bacteroidota.